RNAcentral lists this ribosomal RNA (292 nucleotides) under uncultured bacterium. RNAcentral describes it as "partial 16S ribosomal RNA". It matches the Rfam family "Bacterial small subunit ribosomal RNA", at positions 505 to 796 of the family's 1533-position model. The record is from RNAcentral.
GUGCCAGCCGCCGCGGUAAUACGGAGGGGGCCAGCGUUGUUCGGAAUCAUUGGGCGUAAAGGGCGCGUAGGCGGCCAAGCAAGUCGGAGGUGAAAUCCCUCGGCUCAACCGGGGAACUGCCCCCGAUACUGCUUGGCUCGAGUCCCGGAGAGGGUAGUGGAAUUCCCAGUGUAGCGGUGAAAUGCGUAGAUAUUGGGAGGAACACCGGUGGCGAAGGCGGCUACCUGGACGGGUACUGACGCUGAGGCGCGAAAGCGUGGGGAGCAAACAGGAUUAGAUACCCUCGUAGUCC